Etheostoma cragini (Arkansas darter) is the source of this 110-nucleotide long non-coding RNA. RefSeq lists it as uncharacterized. The transcript has 3 exons. NCBI's taxonomy places the organism in Eukaryota, Metazoa, Chordata, Actinopteri, Perciformes, Percidae. The record is from RefSeq and is a predicted model, not a curated record.
CAACAACUAGUGACCACCACGCGGGAGUAUAAACAGUUACGGCGCUCUCUUGACGUCACACUGUCGCUCCUCAGCUCAGCUGCGGCAAGUACAACCCAAGUCAUAGUCUC